RNAcentral lists this ribosomal RNA (1404 nucleotides) under metagenome. Its description in RNAcentral is "bacterial LSU rRNA". It matches the Rfam family "Bacterial large subunit ribosomal RNA", at positions 1511 to 2925 of the family's 2925-position model. The record is from RNAcentral.
GACAAGCGAGGUACCUGAUAAGGAGGCAAACCCCCUUAUCAAUGGGAAGACGUGAUGUGGAGCGAACCAAAGGGUAGCGAAGCAGGUGAGCCAGCCGUCGAGAAAAGCCGCUAUUGUUUUGUACGGACCCGUACCGUAAACCGACACAGGUGGAUGAGGAGAGAAUCCUAAGGCCGACGGGAGAAGCAUUGUUAAGGAACUCGGCAAAAUGACCCCGUAACUUCGGGAGAAGGGGUGCCUGAGGAAUCAGGCCGCAGAGAAUAGGUCCAAGCAACUGUUUAGCAAAAACACAGGUCUAUGCAAAACCGAAAGGUGAAGUAUAUGGGCUGACGCCUGCCCGGUGCUGGAAGGUUACGAGGAGUGCUUAGAGGCUUGCCUCGAAGGUGCGAAUUUAAGCCCCAGUAAACGGCGGCCGUAACAAUAACGGUCCUAAGGUAGCGAAAUUCCUUGUCGGGUAAGUUCCGACCCGCACGAAAGGCGUAAUGAUUUGGACGCUGUCUCGACAAUGCACCCGGUGAAAUUGAAAUACCAGUGAAGAUGCUGGUUACCCGCGCCAGGACGGAAAGACCCCAUGGAGCUUUACUCUAGUUUGAUACUGGGAUUCGGUACUGCAUGUACAGGAUAGGUGGGAGACUGUGAAUCUGUGACGCCAGUUGCAGAGGAGUCAAUGUUGGGAUACCACCCUUGUAGUAUUGGAUUUCUAACCAACAGCCGUGAACCGGCUGGGGGACAAUGUCAGGCGGGGAGUUUGACUGGGGCGGUCGCCUCCGAAAGGGUAUCGGAGGCGCUCAAAGGUUCCCUCAGAAUGGUCGGAAACCAUUCGAAGAGUGCAAAGGCAGAAGGGAGCUUGACUGCGACACCGACGGGUGGAGCAGGUAGGAAACUAGGACUUAGUGAUCCGGUGGUAUGAAAGUGGGAUUGCCAUCGCUCAACGGAUAAAAGCUACCCUGGGAUAACAGGCUUAUCACUCCCAAGAGUUCACAUCGACGGAGUGGUUUGGCACCUCGAUGUCGGCUCAUCGCAUCCUGGGGCUGUAGUAGGUCCCAAGGGUUGGGCUGUUCGCCCAUUAAAGCGGUACGCGAGCUGGGUUCAGAACGUCGUGAGACAGUUCGGUCCCUAUCCGGCGCGGGCGUAGGAUAUUUGAGAGGAGCUGCCCUUAGUACGAGAGGACCGGGGUGGACUGGCCUCUGGUGUACCGGUUGUAUUACCAAAUGCAUAGCCGGGUAGCCAAGCCGGGACGGGAUAAACGCUGAAGGCAUCUAAGCGUGAAGCCCCCCUCAAGAUAAGAUAUCCCUGACAAUAAGUCAAUAAGACCCCUUGAAGACGACGAGGUAGAUAGGUCCGAGGUGGAAGUGCAGUAAUGUAUGGAGCUGACGGAUACUAAUAGGUCGAAGGCUUGACAGA